UCCAUGGCGCUGCGCGUGGCAAUAACGCGCUGCAGCCCGCGGGCGGAAAAAAGUGUCCGGUGCCUGAGGGCAGUCGAGAAGGCCGAGAGAAAAGCCGCAGUUGUCAACGAGGGGCUAUGAGCUGAUGCUCCUCCAGAACCACGAUAGAGCAUCUUCUGCAGCUGGUCAUAGAAACAGAAGCUGCUGAAGGGUGGCUAGGAAGAACUGCGAGCCCGAGUAAGGUCACACGGGGACUGGAGGCUUCUCAGAGAAGUGAAGGAGAGGUGAAAUGCAGCCCGCUGAAUAGAACGCAUGAAUUAACACAGAAGUUAGAGUGAGACAGAAAGCAUGCCUCAUUGGAGCUGGCAAACAGGAGCAAACAGCAAAAGCCUCAAGACAUGUAAGAUGGAAGAAGGAACUAACAUGAAGAAAACUGAACCCAACAAACAGUGAGCAAAUCAAGAUUGCUCUACACAAGCAUCCCCAAAUCAUGGGGCAAGUAGCAGGGCAGCAAUCCUGGAGCCAGCUUACUGUGGGGGUCAUAUGGGCUUAACUUCUGAUUGAGGAGAACCAAGAGGAAAACGAACCCUUCAGAAUCAGAAACUUUAUCCCUCUGAUGUUUAAAAGACCUUGUAUUUGACAGGACAGCUUUGAAGAUAAAGACCGAAGCACUCUCCAGCUACAGGCUGUUCAGCACCCCACACUGCUAUGUACUAUGUGCACUUCACUUCAGUUUCUCAGAGUUCAGUCAUAUUAGAAAGGAGAUAGUGGAGACAUUUUUUAGUAUAUUGUACUAUGUUUUUGAGGCUUCUGUAUCUUGCCCAAGCUCUCUUUACAGAGCCUGGAAGAGCUCAGCUCCAUUCUACACAUUCCCAUCAUCAUUCCUUCCCACUGUACUCUGUUAGACUGGCCUGUUGCUCUUG
This 902-nucleotide long non-coding RNA is filed under the name Gallus gallus (chicken). RNAcentral's name for it is "long non-coding RNA NONGGAT003183". Lineage: Eukaryota; Metazoa; Chordata; Aves; Galliformes; Phasianidae. The record is from RNAcentral.